UUCAGAUCUGCACAUUUUUUAUUAUUUGUAUUUUAUUUUAAAAUUUUGCAGAUGAGUUCAUAGCCUUCUAUUGUUUGUUUACUUCAAACUUUAUUUGUUUAUUGACAUUUCAAAUUUGCAAGAAAACAAAAAUUAUUGUAAAUAUUAGCACACACAACACACACAUCUGCAACGAAAAUAAAUUCACUCGAUAGAAAACAAAGAACCAAAUGUUUUUAUCGAAUCCAACAAAAACAAAAACCGGAUAGAGGAAGAGUUGAUCUUCGGCAUUGUUGUAGGUCGGCCGGUGGCUGAAAUUGUAAUCGCAAACCCAAACAAAACAAAUGGCCAAGAAAUGAGAGGUGUUCCAUGUACUAAAUUAAAACAAAAACGUCUUUGGAAAAAUUCUUUUAAAAAAUUCAUGCUAAGAGCUCUGGUGGUCUUUGGAAAAAUUCUUUUAAAAAUCCACGUUUAGAGCUCUUUUGGUCUUUGGAAAAAUCUUUUAAAAAAUCCACGCUUAGAGCUAUGUUGGUGUUUGGAAAAAUUCUUUUAAAAAAUCCACGCUUAGAGCUAUGUUGGUGUUUGGAAAAAUUCUUUUAAAAAAUUCACGCUUAGAGCUCUGUUGGUCUUUGGAAAAAUUCUUUUAAAAAAUCCUCGCUUAGAGCUCUGUUGGUCUUUGGAAAAAAUCUUUUAAAAAAUCCACGCUUAGAGCUCUGUUGGUCUUUGGAAAAAAUCUUUUAAAAAAAAUCCACGCUUGGAGAUCUGAUAGUCCUUCACAAGAACUUAUUCCCUUCGGUAUAUGCUUCAUAUGCAAAUUUGUCAUCCAAUUUUUAAUUCAUUUUGAAAAAAAAACAAAAGCUAUGAAAAAUUCAUUCAUGCUCCAAUAUUUCAUGUCACACCGUUAUAAUAGCUGAUGCAAAAAAGUUACAAACGAUA
Molecule: long non-coding RNA, 915 nt
Organism: Musca domestica (house fly)
Lineage: Eukaryota; Metazoa; Arthropoda; Insecta; Diptera; Muscidae
Exons: 2
Source: RefSeq, a predicted model, not a curated record